GCGAAGGUGGCGGAAUUGGUAGACGCGCUAGCUUCAGGUGUUAGUGUUCUUACGGACGUGGGGGUUCAAGUCCCCCCC
This 78-nucleotide transfer RNA is filed under the name Escherichia coli. RNAcentral's name for it is "tRNA-Leu". It matches the Rfam family "tRNA". From Rfam's summary of the family: Transfer RNA (tRNA) molecules are approximately 80 nucleotides in length. Their secondary structure includes four short double-helical elements and three loops (D, anti-codon, and T loops). Further hydrogen bonds mediate the characteristic L-shaped molecular structure. tRNAs have two regions of fundamental functional importance: the anti-codon, which is responsible for specific mRNA codon recognition, and the 3' end, to which the tRNAs corresponding amino acid is attached (by aminoacyl-tRNA synthetases). tRNAs cope with the degeneracy of the genetic code in two manners: having more than one tRNA (with a specific anti-codon) for a particular amino acid; and 'wobble' base-pairing, i.e. permitting non-standard base-pairing at the 3rd anti-codon position. RNAcentral also lists the same sequence under 2 other names. Lineage: Bacteria; Pseudomonadati; Pseudomonadota; Gammaproteobacteria; Enterobacterales; Enterobacteriaceae. The record is from RNAcentral.